AUUGAACGCUGGCGGCAGGCCUAACACAUGCAAGUCGGACGGUAGCACAGGGGAGCUUGCUCCUCGGGUGACGAGUGGCGGACGGGUGAGUAAUGUCUGGGGAUCUGCCCGAUAGAGGGGGAUAACCACUGGAAACGGUGGCUAAUACCGCAUAAUGUCGCAAGACCAAAGAGGGGGACCUUCGGGCCUCUCACUAUCGGAUGAACCCAGAUGGGAUUAGCUAGUAGGCGGGGUAACGGCCCACCUAGGCGACGAUCCCUAGCUGGUCUGAGAGGAUGACAAGCCACACUGGAACUGAGACACGGUCCAGACUCCUACGGGAGGCAGCAGUGGGGAAUAUUGCACAAUGGGCGCAAGCCUAAUGCAGCCAUGCCGCGUGUAUGAAGAAGGCCUUCGGGUUGUAAAGUACUUUCAGCGGGGAGGAAGGCGAUGUGGUUAAUAACCGCGUCGAUUGACGUUACCCGCAGAAGAAGCACCGGCUAACUCCGUGCCAGCAGCCGCCGUAA
This 506-nucleotide ribosomal RNA is filed under the name uncultured bacterium. Its description in RNAcentral is "partial 16S ribosomal RNA". It matches the Rfam family "Bacterial small subunit ribosomal RNA", at positions 29 to 523 of the family's 1533-position model. The record is from RNAcentral.